AAGCAAUGUUCUCCUGAGGUUGAAGCAGAUGUGUGUGGCUCUCCUCCUGACUCUCUAUUUUGAGACUCUAAGUUGAGAGCACAAAGUGAAUGGCGAUUUUUACAGCCCAGAAUGCUAAGUACUGAAUGGCACAAUAUUACUAUGGAUUCUAGAAAAAAGAGGUACAAGGUGUUGUAACAUGAGAGCUGCAUUGACUAUCUGACCAUCAAUAAGUUGGUAGUGCUCAGAUGGUGUGUUAUUCUCAGUGUUAUGGAUCUUGCUCAUGUCUGACUCAUUUCUUCUGCAUUUUCACAGAAUCAUAGAACCAUUAUGGUUGGAACAGACCUCUAAGAUCAUCUAGUCUGACCAUCAACACAUCAUCAGAGAUUUGCAUUGCUCAUCCUUCUGGACUCCAAGGGAAACAUCCAGACUCUGUGAACUGAGGAUGACAGAAAGCUGAUGCCAGUGAAAGUGAAGUCUGAAGAAAUCAAACUUCUCUUUGAUGUUCUAUUUUGGCUACUGCCCUUAGAAGCCUCAGAAGAACCAGAACACCCUACUGGGAUCAUUCUUACUUGCCCUCAAUGCGAUGUCAAAAUUUUUGAGGGGAAGGCACAACUUUCUUUUUAGUAGACCUUGUUGCAUUUUUCUGGCAUCCAUUUCUUUCGUUGUUCUUUGAACCCAGUUAAGCGUUCUAGUAUCAGAAAGCAAUCUGGACAAAGUGUUUACUGGAUUCUAA
Molecule: long non-coding RNA, 715 nt
Filed under: Numida meleagris (helmeted guineafowl)
Lineage: Eukaryota; Metazoa; Chordata; Aves; Galliformes; Numididae
Description: lncRNA (ENSNMEG00000004354.1)
Source: RNAcentral